CAGAAAGACCCAGUAAGAGAAAUGCCAUGUUU
RNAcentral lists this non-coding RNA (32 nucleotides) under Rattus norvegicus (Norway rat). The record is from RNAcentral. Lineage: Eukaryota; Metazoa; Chordata; Mammalia; Rodentia; Muridae.